GAUGAAGAACGCAGCGAAAUGCGAUACUUGGUGUGAAUUGCAGAAUCCCGUGAACCAUCGAGUCUUUGAACGCAAGUUGCGCCUCAAGCCAUUAGGUUGAGGGCACGUCUGCCUGGGCGUCACAUAUCGUUGCCUGAUGCCAGUUUCCUCGUGAUGGGUGACUGUGCAGGGCGAAUGAUGGCUUCCCGUGAGCAUUGUUGCCUCAUGGUUGGUUGAAAAUUGAGUCCUUGGUAGGGAGCGCCGCGAUAGAUGGUGGUUGAGUGACGAACGAGACCCAAUCAUGUGAGACCCCUACCGAAUUUGGCCUUCAUGACCCACAUGCGUCUUUGGAACGCUCAUGACGAGACCUCAGGUCAGGCGGGGCUACCCGCUGAGUUUAAGCAUAUCAAUAAGCGGAGGA
Molecule: unclassified non-coding RNA, 400 nt
Filed under: soil metagenome
Description: partial contains 5.8S ribosomal RNA, internal transcribed spacer 2, and large subunit ribosomal RNA
Rfam family: 5.8S ribosomal RNA (bases 1-122)
Source: RNAcentral